RNAcentral lists this transfer RNA (62 nucleotides) under Gryllotalpa orientalis (oriental mole cricket). Its description in RNAcentral is "tRNA-Cys". The record is from RNAcentral. Lineage: Eukaryota; Metazoa; Arthropoda; Insecta; Orthoptera; Gryllotalpidae.
GGUCUUAUAUUCAAUUAAUGAUUUUAGACUGCAAUUCUAAAGGUGUAGAAAUACUAAGACUU